GUUUAUCUCGCACUGUGGUGGAUUCGGAACAGGUGCUAAUACCGCAUAAGCGCACAGGGCCGCAUGGCCCGGUGUGAAAAACUCCGGUGGUGUAAGAUGGACCCGCGUCUGAUUAGCUUGUUGGCGGGGUAGGGGCCCACCAAGGCGACGAUCAGUAGCCGGCCUGAGAGGGUGGACGGCCACAUUGGGACUGAGACACGGCCCAAACUCCUACGGGAGGCAGCAGUGGGGGAUAUUGGACAAUGGGGGAAACCCUGAUCCAGCGACGCCGCGUGAGUGAAGAAGUAUUUCGGUAUGUAAAGCUCUGUCAGCAGGGAAGAAAGAAAUGACGGUACCUGACCAAGAAGCCCCGGCUAACUACGUGCCAGCAGCCGCGGUAAUACGUAGGGGGCAAGCGUUAUCCGGAAUUACUGGGUGUAAAGGGAGCGUAGACGGUGAUGCAAGUCUGGAGUGAAAGGCGGGGGCCCAACCCCCGGACUGCUCUGGAAACUGUGUAACUUGAGUGCAGGAGAGGUAAGCGGAAUUCCUAGUGUAGCGGUGAAAUGCGUAGAUAUUAGGAGGAACACCAGUGGCGAAGGCGGCUUACUGGACUGUAACUGACGUUGAGGCUCGAAAGCGUGGGGAGCAAACAGGAUUAGAUACCCUGGUAGUCCACGCCGUAAACGAUGAUUACUAGGUGUCGGUGGGUAUGGACCCACCGGUGCCGCAGCAAACGCAGUAAGUAAUCCACCUGGGGAGUACGUUUCGCAGAAUGAAACUCAAGGAAUUUGACGGGACCCGCACAAGCGGUUGGAGCAUUGUGGUUUAAUUCCGAAGCAACGUCUAAGAAAUCU
This 833-nucleotide ribosomal RNA is filed under the name mouse gut metagenome. RNAcentral's name for it is "bacterial SSU rRNA". It matches the Rfam family "Bacterial small subunit ribosomal RNA", at positions 124 to 972 of the family's 1533-position model. The record is from RNAcentral.